CGGCAGCACGGGUGCUUGCACCUGGUGGCGAGUGGCGAACGGGUGAGUAAUACAUCGGAACGUACCUUAUCGUGGGGGAUAACGCAGCGAAAGUUGCGCUAAUACCGCAUACGCCCUGAGGGGGAAAGCGGGGGACCGUAAGGCCUCGCGCGAUUAGAGCGGCCGAUGUCUGAUUAGCUUGUUGGUGAGGUAAAAGCUCACCAAGGCGAUGAUCAGUAGCUGGUCUGAGAGGACGAUCAGCCACACUGGGACUGAGACACGGCCCAGACUCCUACGGGAGGCAGCAGUGGGGAAUUUUGGACAAUGGGGGCAACCCUGAUCCAGCAAUGCCGCGUGAGUGAAGAAGGCCUUCGGGUUGUAAAGCUCUUUUGUCAGGGAAGAAACAGCAGCUCUAACACAGACUGCGAAUGACGGUACCUGAAGAAUAAGCACCGGCUAACUACGUGCCAGCAGCCGCGGUAAUGCGUAGGGUGCGAGCGUUAAUCGGAAUUACU
Molecule: ribosomal RNA, 494 nt
Filed under: uncultured beta proteobacterium
Lineage: Bacteria; Pseudomonadati; Pseudomonadota; Betaproteobacteria
Description: bacterial SSU rRNA
Rfam family: Bacterial small subunit ribosomal RNA
Source: RNAcentral